UUCGGUGGUGAUGGCGGAGGGGAAACACCUGUUCCCAUUUCGAACACAGUAGUUAAGCCCUCCAGCGCCGAUGGUACUGCUUGGGUGACCUUGUGGGAGAGUAGGACGCUGCCGAGA
This 117-nucleotide ribosomal RNA is filed under the name Candidatus Effluviviaceae Genus V sp. Lineage: Bacteria; Candidatus Effluviviacota; Candidatus Effluviviaceae. The record is from RNAcentral.